AGUGAACGCUGGCGGUAGGCCUAACACAUGCAAGUCGAACGGCAGCACAGUAAGAGCUUGCUCUUACGGGUGGCGAGUGGCGGACGGGUGAGGAAUACAUCGAAAUCUACUUUUUCGUGGGGGAUAACGUAGGGAAACUUACGCUAAUACCGCAUACGACCUACGGGUGAAAGCAGGGGAUCUUCGGACCUUGCGCGAUUGAAUGAGCCGAUGUCGGAUUAGCUAGUUGGCGGGGUAAAGGCCCACCAAGGCGACGAUCCGUAGCUGGUCUGAGAGGAUGAUCAGCCACACUGGAACUGAGACACGGUCCAGACUCCUACGGGAGGCAGCAGUGGGGAAUAUUGGACAAUGGGCGCAAGCCUGAUCCAGCCAUACCGCGUGGGUGAAGAAGGCCUUCGGGUUGUAAAGCCCUUUUGUUGGGAAAGAAAAGCAGCAGGUUAAUACCCCGCUGUUCUGACGGUACCCAAAGAAUAAGCACCGGCUAACUUCGCG
RNAcentral lists this ribosomal RNA (492 nucleotides) under uncultured bacterium. RNAcentral describes it as "partial 16S ribosomal RNA". It matches the Rfam family "Bacterial small subunit ribosomal RNA", at positions 29 to 507 of the family's 1533-position model. The record is from RNAcentral.